AGAGUUUGAUCCUGGCUCAGGAUGAACGCUAGCGGCAGGCUUAACACAUGCAAGUCGAGGGGUAUAGUUCUUCGGAGCUAGAGACCGGCGCACGGGUGCGUAACGCGUAUGCAAUCUACCUUUUACAGAGGGAUAGCCCAGAGAAAUUUGGAUUAAUACCUCAUAGUAUGUGAGAAUCGCAUGGUUUUCACAUUAAAGUUCCAACGGUAAAAGAUGAGCAUGCGUCCCAUUAGCUAGAUGGUAAGGUAACGGCUUACCAUGGCAACGAUGGGUAGGGGUCCUGAGAGGGAGAUCCCCCACACUGGUACUGAGACACGGACCAGACUCCUACGGGAGGCAGCAGUGAGGAAUAUUGGACAAUGGGCGCAAGCCUGAUCCAGCCAUGCCGCGUGCAGGAUGACGGUCCUAUGGAUUGUAAACUGCUUUUGUACAGGAAGAAACACUCCCUCGUGAGGGAGCUUGACGGUACUGUAAGAAUAAGGAUCGGCUAACUCCGUGCCAGCAGCCGCGGUAAUACGGAGGAUCCAAGCGUUAUCCGGAAUCAUUGGGUUUAAAGGGUCCGUAGGCGGUUUAAUAAGUCAGUGGUGAAAGCCCAUCGCUCAACGGUGGAACGGCCAUUGAUACUGUUAAACUUGAAUUAUUAGGAAGUAACUAGAAUAUGUAGUGUAGCGGUGAAAUGCUUAGAGAUUACAUGGAAUACCAAUUGCGAAGGCAGGUUACUACUAAUGGAUUGACGCUGAUGGACGAAAGCGUGGGUAGCGAACAGGAUUAGAUACCCUGGUAGUCCACGCCGUAAACGAUGGAUACUAGCUGUUGGGAGCAAUCUCAGUGGCUAAGCGAAAGUGAUAAGUAUCCCACCUGGGGAGUACGUUCGCAAG
This 878-nucleotide ribosomal RNA is filed under the name Flavobacterium sp. AKB-2008-JO104. RNAcentral's name for it is "bacterial SSU rRNA". It matches the Rfam family "Bacterial small subunit ribosomal RNA", at positions 8 to 892 of the family's 1533-position model. The record is from RNAcentral. Lineage: Bacteria; Pseudomonadati; Bacteroidota; Flavobacteriia; Flavobacteriales; Flavobacteriaceae.